Molecule: long non-coding RNA, 257 nt
Filed under: Elaeis guineensis (African oil palm)
Lineage: Eukaryota; Viridiplantae; Streptophyta; Magnoliopsida; Arecales; Arecaceae
Description: long non-coding RNA (EGUI_LNC069022)
Source: RNAcentral
CACUCAUGGGGGUGGCUUGAUUUGAUAUGACAUCCCUUGAUGUGUAGCUAGCCAUUGGAGUGAUAUGGCCCCAUGUGGGUAAUGCGAUUUGAUGUGAUGAUAUAGGGGUUGACUCUUCCAAACGUGACAGCCAGUGAGUGUUGAAGAAAAUGUAGCCCAUCGCUAGAAGAAAGGAUUGAUGAGGGAUCCUUUGGUCGAAGUUGAUGUCGGGCUUAGGACUUCUCUUGGAUCGAGGUUUGGUAUCCGAGCAUCACCCC